GGGUGAGUAACACGUGAGUAACCUGCCCCAGGCUUUGGGAUAACCCCGGGAAACCGGGGCUAAUACCGGAUAUGACUGGCUGCCGCAUGGUGGUUGGUGGAAAGAUUUUUCGGCUUGGGAUGGACUCGCGGCCUAUCAGCUUGUUGGUGGGGUAAUGGCCUACCAAGGCGGCGACGGGUAGCCGGCCUGAGAGGGCGACCGGCCACACUGGGACUGAGACACGGCCCAGACUCCUACGGGAGGCAGCAGUGGGGAAUCUUGCACAAUGGGCGGAAGCCUGAUGCAGCGACGCCGCGUGAGGGAUGACGGCCUUCGGGUUGUAAACCUCUUUCAGCAGGGACGAAGCGUUUGUGACGGUACCUGCAGAAGAAGCGCCGGCCAACUACGUGCCAGCAGCCGCGGUAAGACGUAGGGCGCGAGCGUUGUCCGGAUUUAUUGGGCGUAAAGAGCUCGUAGGCGGCUUGUCGCGUCGACUGUGAAAACCCGUGGCUCAACUGCGGGCUUGCAGUCGAUACGGGCAGGCUAGAGUUCGGUAGGGGAGACUGGAAUUCCUGGUGUAGCGGUGAAAUGCGCAGAUAUCA
Molecule: ribosomal RNA, 581 nt
Filed under: Salinispora pacifica
Lineage: Bacteria; Bacillati; Actinomycetota; Actinomycetes; Micromonosporales; Micromonosporaceae
Also listed under: 1 other name
Description: bacterial SSU rRNA
Rfam family: Bacterial small subunit ribosomal RNA
Source: RNAcentral